RNAcentral lists this ribosomal RNA (485 nucleotides) under uncultured bacterium. RNAcentral's name for it is "partial 16S ribosomal RNA". It matches the Rfam family "Bacterial small subunit ribosomal RNA", at positions 30 to 508 of the family's 1533-position model. The record is from RNAcentral.
AUUGAACGCUGGCGGCAUGCCUUACACAUGCAAGUCGAACGGUAACGGGUCCUUCGGGAUGCCGACGAGUGGCGAACGGGUGAGUAAUAUAUCGGAACGUGCCCAGUAGUGGGGGAUAACUGCUCGAAAGAGCAGCUAAUACCGCAUACGACCUGAGGGUGAAAGGGGGGGAUCGCAAGACCUCUCGCUAUUGGAGCGGCCGAUAUCAGAUUAGCUAGUUGGUGGGGUAAAGGCCUACCAAGGCAACGAUCUGUAGUUGGUCUGAGAGGACGACCAGCCACACUGGGACUGAGACACGGCCCAGACUCCUACGGGAGGCAGCAGUGGGGAAUUUUGGACAAUGGGCGCAAGCCUGAUCCAGCAAUGCCGCGUGCAGGAAGAAGGCCUUCGGGUUGUAAACUGCUUUUGUCAGGGAAGAAAUCUUCUGGGCUAAUACCCCGGGAGGAUGACGGUACCUGAAGAAUAAGCACCGGCUAACUACGUGC